RNAcentral lists this ribosomal RNA (115 nucleotides) under Kwoniella shandongensis. The record is from RNAcentral. Lineage: Eukaryota; Fungi; Basidiomycota; Tremellomycetes; Tremellales; Cryptococcaceae.
UACGGCCAUAGAACCUAGAAAACGCCGCAUCCCGUCUGAUCUGCGCAGCUAAGCUGGGUACCGCACGGUUAGUACCAAGGUGGGGGACCACUUGGGAAUCCCGGGUGCUGUAGUU